AUUGAACGCUGGCGGCAUGCCUUACACAUGCAAGUCGAACGGCAGCACGGGUGCUUGCACCUGGUGGCGAGUGGCGAACGGGUGAGUAAUACAUCGGAACAUGUCCUGUAGUGGGGGAUAGCCCGGCGAAAGCCGGAUUAAUACCGCAUACGAUCUACGGAUGAAAGCGGGGGACCUUCGGGCCUCGCGCUAUAGGGUUGGCCGAUGGCUGAUUAGCUAGUUGGUGGGGUAAAGGCCUACCAAGGCGACGAUCAGUAGCUGGUCUGAGAGGACGACCAGCCACACUGGGACUGAGACACGGCCCAGACUCCUACGGGAGGCAGCAGUGGGGAAUUUUGGACAAUGGGCGAAAGCCUGAUCCAGCAAUGCCGCGUGUGUGAAGAAGGCCUUCGGGUUGUAAAGCACUUUUGUCCGGAAAGAAAUCCUUGGCUCUAAUACAGUCGGGGGAUGACGGUACCGGAAGAAUAAGCACCGGCUAACCACGUG
This 486-nucleotide ribosomal RNA is filed under the name uncultured bacterium. Its description in RNAcentral is "partial 16S ribosomal RNA". It matches the Rfam family "Bacterial small subunit ribosomal RNA", at positions 30 to 507 of the family's 1533-position model. The record is from RNAcentral.